GUCUUUUUAGGGCCAUACGUGCAGUAUAUGGAAGUUCCAUAGCUAGGCUACAGCUGCCAGCCUACACCAUAGCCACAGCAACAAGGGAUCCAAGCAACGUCUUUGAUCUACACCAUAGCUCACGGCAAUUCCAGAUCCUUAACCCACUGAGCAAGGGAGGCUAGGGAUCAAACCUGAGUCCUCACAGACACUAGUCAGAUUCGGUACUAUUGAGCCAUGACGGGAACUCCUGGAUAUGGGGUAAAGAGACUGCAACGCUGUUAGUGGGGAAUCAGCCCCCUCCUGAUCAGUGGGCACCUCGGAACCUGAAAACGAAGGAUUCUAAUGUAUUGCAAUAGCCAUAUGUUGUUAUAGCUACAAAGAGUGGGUGCUUUUGUGUGUGUAUGUGUGUGUGCGUGUGUGUGCCAUUUUAAGGCCGCACCCAUGGCAUGUGGAGGUCCCCAGGCUAAGGGUUGAAUCGGAGCUGUAGCCUCCGGCCUAUACCACAGCCACAGCCAUGUGGGAUCCAAGCCGCAUCUACGACCUACAACAUAGCACAUGGCAAUGCCAGAUCCCUAACCCACUGAGUGAGGCCAGGGAUCAAACCUGCAUCCUCAGGGAUCCUAGUAGGUUCAUUAAUCGCUGAACCAUAAUGGGAACUCUGCUUUUCCUCCACUCUUGAAACAUAACUUAGCACCUGCGUGCAGGUUCUUGCUCAGACCUGUCUGCUCCAUGCUCAUCGCCCUGAGGGUGGAAGAAAUAGAUGCUGGGUGAGAGCAGGUGUGGAGAGGAGAAGGCAGUCUUAUUGGGCCAAGGCACCUGCAGCCGUCCCCUGAUGCAGCAUGAGAUGAGUGGCCAGGUGAAAAAAGCAGACAUCCUGCCAGACAUCCUGCCAGGAGGAAGCCCCCCCCCCAUUCAAGACACCAUGUUCAGCUGAAGGAUGCUGACACCUCUGCAUGCCCCACAUGGAGGCCUGGAAAUCUGCACACAGCAGCACAUUGCUAAAUGCUCUCUGAGGGGGACUGGCUGCUUGCAGAGAUGGCGCUCAAGCCAGACUCUGCCUGCAUCCAACUUUGCAUCCGCCAGUGGACCUCUGCCUCCAGGGGCCACAGGAAGCUGCUUUUGCCAAGCUGGUUCUCCCCAGCAAGGCCAGUUUUGCCACCACUUAGCGCUGGCAGUGGUUGAAUUCCCUUCAAGUGUGUGUAAGAGAGAUAGAGGCUGAAGAGAGAGGAGAGGGAGCUAGUCUUGCUUGGGGCUGAUCUCUUUGGUUGCUUUUCUGCCAAAAAUAAACAAAAAGUCCUCUCUGUCGUCAUUGCUUCUCUGCUUAAAAUUGUCUGAUGAGGACUCCAAAAAGCCAGAGAAUUGUUGGCUGUGUCUGGAGGGUUCUACCUCUUUCUUUUAGAUUCCUUUACAGUCUGCAGAAUGGACAGCCACGAAGAAGAAGGAACCACACUCUGGCUGUGCUCGUGACCCUAUACCUGGAGGAUCUGGGGAGAAAGGGAAGUGGGUGAUGGGGCUGGGGUUCGGGCAGUGAUGGGGCGCUUCCUAGAGACAGGAAGGAAACAGCCUUGUGGGACUAAAUCACAUGCGACAGAACAAACCGUCACCCCGAAACGAGUACUCCAGUCGAGUUUGGCUGUAAACACUCAUAUUUCCUCCACUCCGCUCUUCUCUUCUCGAGCGGUCUCAUGUAUAUUUCACGGCGUGUCCUACCCACUCUCGCACUCAUACAUCAAAGGAUCUGAGGACAAGAAACCUGAUUUUGAAAACAUUAUUCUUUUAAAGAUUGAUCCUCUCAUCUUGACCACCUCCUUAGCUGGAAGGGAGAGGUUCUCCAUAAAUUAUUUUAAUGUGCUUUGCAAAAGGAACUUUCUCACCUCUCCUCCCCAAAACUUUUCCGCACGUAUAAUUAUUCAAGGCCCUUGAUUUCAUUUCUUUUUUCCAUCCAUGCACAUUGAGGCGUGUUCGGAAAGAGCACAAGAAAAGAAGUGAGCGUUAGAAAAUUUGAGAAGUUCAAUGGAAACUUUGAGGAAGCCCAGGGGUAAGGGGAUGGGUCUCUUUGGGUUGCAAGAAGGGACACUAACAGUAGUUUUUCCAAUAAAUCUCGUAGAAAUGAGUGUAAAGAUGAUGUUUAGAGGUGGUCCUUCAGUCUGGCCCACACUCUGAGAUUUCCUGGGUGUGUGGUCUGCUAAUCUCAGUGGAGCCUCGGCCCCAGGCCUCCACUUAGAAUGCUGUCUGACCAGGCACAGCAAAGCCUCUCACCCCAGACCCCACCCCAGACCCCAGGCCCCAGACCCACCCAGCCCUUGCACUCAGCACUCGUCCUCUGAACAGCCCACCCAGCUGCCUGUCCUCGGUCCCCUCACCAGGGUGUGACAGUCACCUGCUGAGCCAUCACUGGCUGGGGUCUAGAGGUUCUGUGUCCAGGUGUAGUCCAGGUCAACACCAACUGUCUCUAAAGUCUUCUCUCUUUGACCUUAAAUGGUGCCACAACUAUGACAAACAGGUUCAAGAACUUUGCCAGAACAUUUAGCCUGCAGACGCUAAAAACUAACAAAAUGGGGCUUCGCAUCUUCCUUUCUCACACCAGGUUAGUUUCCAGCUGAGGAUUUCCUUGGCAGGGUUCACGUGCAGCUCUUGGCUCAGACCGUCCCACCUCCCUUCUCUGGAUCCCUUUGUUCCCAACAAAUUGAGGUCUCCUGACCGCUGGUAUGUAUCUGGUGUCCCUCAAAACAGGGCUGACUGCAGCCUGAUCCCUGGAGGCAGCACCCCCUCCCUCGUGCCCAUUUCAGCUCCACUCGCCUGGCCCGGUUCUCAGUUGGGGCUAUUCUGGGCAACCGCCCCAUUGGCACAGGUUCUGAGAACGGUACCAGACUGUAUUCCAUCCAUCGCAGGGUCUCUGUUAGCAGACUUCCUCUGCUCCUACCACCAGUGCCUGCAGCCCGAGAGCUCGCGGGCUCCCCCGUGUGGCUGCUCCCAGGUGCCCAGCAGACCUGCUGCGUAGCGACAGCCGCACCACCGUUGCCGCUGCCUAAUGCCGUCACUGCGCUGGACCUGUCUGGCCUUUCAGGGAUCAUGCUGUCCUCCUGUUGUAUUUGAGUCACUCACUCAACUCCUGCUGUGAGGUCUGUUCACCUAGAGACCAGCCAGGCCAGGGAGCAGGUCCAUCCUUCCAGCCCCUCCCCGGCCGCUCUGUCUAUAAUAAGAGCAAGCAGAGCAGGAGGGCUCUGAGCCAGGACGGAUGGUUCAUGCCACACAAAGGGACAGAGAAGCAAGCAAAUGGUGAGUCCUCUGGGGCCCAAGCCACCCGCCAGGGGCUCUUUCCAGCUCUCGUGUCUCCUUUGUCAAGCCCAACAGGCGAGACAGGCUCCUGUGGUGUCAAAAAGAGGGAAAAGCACACCGUACUCUUGUAAAAGGUCUUUAGAGCAUAUUCUACCGGCCCUGCGAGAUUUUCCGUGCUGCUCAAGCUGCCCCCACCGUGAAGCGUGUCUGCAUUAGCACUCGUUUUAAUAGGAUUUGAAUGAUGACUUUGGGCCCUAUUUAUAUGCUGGAAGGUUUCCAUCAGCCUCAUGCUCAAAAAAGGUCAUUUACAGAGCAGUUUGUGAUCAUUAAUACAAGACAGAUCUUCAAAGCAGCUUCGGAAUUGAAACAAUUUUCCUGAAUGUUUUUGUCAAACUGGUAACUGUGAACAGGAUUUGAUCACUUGAACGUGUCAGUUGUAGAUGAGCUGGGAAAGAAUUGCUUUCAAAUCUUAAAAAACAACAGCAACAACAAAAACAACAACAACACACCAAACAAACCCAAACCUGUUUCUUCAAAGCCCCUCAUAUUUGGGCCUCUUGCAGGGAGGGGGCCUGAGGCAAAGGGAAGAAGUGGCCCUGAUUCAAAGGCCGGGGGGGAGGACAGGGUAGGGGUCAGUCAGCCCUGGAGAGAGCUGAGUGGUUCAGGGCAGGGACAGGGAAGCAGGGACUUAGGAAGCGCAAGUCUGCAGGUGCGGAGCCUGUGCAGAGACCGUCCCAGCUCAUCGGUGGAGUGCUGUCGCCACCAGGUGGGCAGUUGUAGGCACUGCAUCUGGCCCCACAGGCUGCGGGGCUGAGGCCCCAGUGCAGGUGACCAUCCAGGGGGACGAGAAGCCAGUGCUGUUAGCUGAGCAGCGGGUGGGCCGGCUGGCCCCCUCAGAAGGGCGGAGACCCCUUUGUCUUGUGCUCUGUGACAGGAACAGAGUGCAGGCCCAAUGGGGAGAAGGAGCAGCAGGCUGGAUCCAAGCAGGGCCUGUCUCUGGGAGUCCCUGUGGCCAUCAGACCCCCCCUCCCCAUUCCAGUGGGCCGUGGAGGAAAAUGCAUUGUUAGUUGGGGAACUGGCCCGGCUGCUGAGAGUGGGGUACCAGGGCUCGGGGAUGUGUCACUGCAGCUGAAGAAGGGCCUCCCUGGUCACAGACCCCAUGAGGGCAGGGCUGUGGUCUUAUUAGCCUCUGUGACCACACUGCCUGAUGUGGGGUAGGUAGUGGGUGUAAGAAAGCUUUUAAUUGUCUCCUCUAAAAGCAUAAUUGGAAGCCUGCUAUGUGCUGCAAACACAAUAUUUAACAGACCCAGAUCUCCACGUGGCACCUGUUUUCCAUGCCCCAGGCAGAUGAUCACCAAGAUCCCACCUAACACAUGUGAUACAUCCAAGAGUGACAGGAAUGAGACAAAUUAAACAGGGAGGGAAAGGGGAGCGGCCAGCGGCCAGAGGUGGGGAGGUGUGAUGGGCACACCCGGGGGCACCCCUGGGAAGGGGCAGGAUGCGUAGGAGUGGCGCAGGUGUGAGGUCCUCUGGGCAGCGGGAUCCCUGCUGUGGAAGAAGUGAUCCUUGAGCUGAUCCCUGGGCUGGGCAGCUUCAUGGGGGCUACAGAUGCUGGACAAACCGGGAAGUGCCCUUCUAGACAGCGUACAUACGCAACGCCCUGAGUUAACGAGUCAGACAGACAGACAGAGAAGCAGCAUUUUUGUGUGUGUGUGUGUGUGUUUUAGGGCUGUACCUGUGGCAUACGGAGGUAUAUGGAGGCUAGGGAUCAAAUCGGAGCUACAGCUGCCCGCCUACGCUACAGCCACAGCAAUGUUGGAUCCGAGCCGCGUCUUCGACCUACACCAGAGCUCACAGCAACGCUGGAUCCUUAACCCACUGAGUGAGGCCAGGGAUCCAACCUGCUACUCAUGGUUCCUAGUCAGAUUUGUUUCCACUGCACCGCGACGGGAACGCCAAAGCAACAUUAAAACGGGGCUGUGAUUAGUUGCCUGUGUCUAGGGCAGGGGGGUGCAGGCGGUCAUGGACCUGCCAUCCAGCCAGACUUCCUUCCCUAGAUGGGCCAUAUCCAUGGCUCGCACACAGUUCCGAGUGCCCCUCCGAGUGGAAAUGCGUCGCUGUGUGGACGUACUUCAUUUCCCUGUGUAGGGAACUGUGUUGUGGUUCUUUCUCAGCACAGCAUCAAAGGUCUCUAAGGGGCAGCCAGGAGGCACCUCACCAUGGGCCCUGGGGCCCUGGGGCCCUGACAGCCUGGCUUUUAUCUGUCAUCUCUCCUGACAGGGAGCUGGACCACAAAGGCCGCCCACCAGCCUCUCGCCGGCCAUCCCCUCCCUGUGAACAAGGAGCUGUGAGUUGACUCACAGGGACAGGCGUGGACGACUGCUGAAGCCCAGAUGCUGCCUUGGUCGCUUGGGCUGGGAUGCCCAGAAUCUCAGGCAGGCUGAGCCCCUACCCUGCUGCUGGUGCCCACAGUUGUGCCCUUGGCUCAGAGCAUCUUUCACCUAAACUCGUCACGCCUCAAAUCCCAGACGAGACUGAGUCCUUAGUGAUAAGGCCCCAGCAGAGUCCACACUGACAGCUCGAUGCGCAUCUUCUCCUUUCUCUCUCCCCACAUAGAGUGAGUGCUGCUCCAGGAGAAGGUCCCUCUAGUUACUCCUCACCCCCCGGGCAGGAAAAGCCAUCCCCUCUGGGCAUAAGGGACAGAGAGGGACCAUAUACUGUCCCCUCAUCCCUCAGGUGCUGGAGAAGAGCUGUCUCUCUCCACCAGCAGCUCUCUCUCCACCACUGCCCGCUGAGGGGGGCUGGCCCGCAGGUGCAUGAGAAACUCACCCUCACCGUGAGUGCGUGUGGCCCUUACCCUGGACAGGAGACCAGUCCGACAUCCAGUGACCACACUGGGGCUUUAAACCACAGCCACCUCCCAAGCAGUAGAACUGUUUUUCAAACACGCAAAAUAACAGCCUAUCAGCGCUGAAAAGAGCCUUAAAACACACCAGUUCCAGUCCCACCCCAGCCUUUUACAGAAGAAGUCCCGGGCCCAGAGAGUCUGAGGCUUGAUUGAGGUUCUUAUUAGUUCAAGGAACCAACUCAGCCUGCUUUGAGUCUUGCAACGUUUUCCCCACAACAGGAU
Molecule: long non-coding RNA, 6391 nt
Filed under: Sus scrofa (pig)
Lineage: Eukaryota; Metazoa; Chordata; Mammalia; Artiodactyla; Suidae
Description: lncRNA (ENSSSCG00045024130.1)
Source: RNAcentral